AGCGAACGCUGGCGGCAGGCCUAACACAUGCAAGUCGAACGGACCCUUCGGGGUUAGUGGCGGACGGGUGAGUAACACGUGGGAACGUGCCUUUAGGUUCGGAAUAGCUCCUGGAAACGGGUGGUAAUGCCGAAUGUGCCCUUCGGGGGAAAGAUUUAUCGCCUUUAGAGCGGCCCGCGCCUGAUUAGCUAGUUGGUGAGGUAACGGCUCACCAAGGCGACGAUCAGUAGCUGGUCUGAGAGGAUGACCAGCCACACUGGGACUGAGACACGGCCCAGACUCCUACGGGAGGCAGCAGUGGGGAAUCUUGCGCAAUGGGCGAAAGCCUGACGCAGCCAUGCCGCGUGAAUGAUGAAGGUCUUAGGAUUGUAAAAUUCUUUCACCGGGGACGAUAAUGACGGUACCCGGAGAAGAAGCCCCGGCUAACUUCGUG
RNAcentral lists this ribosomal RNA (433 nucleotides) under uncultured bacterium. RNAcentral describes it as "partial 16S ribosomal RNA". It matches the Rfam family "Bacterial small subunit ribosomal RNA", at positions 29 to 507 of the family's 1533-position model. The record is from RNAcentral.